GGGUUGUGAGGUUAAGCGACUAAGCGUACACGGUGGAUGCCCUGGCAGUCAGAGGCGAUGAAGGGCGUGCUAAUCUGCGAUAAGCGCCGGUAAGGUGAUAUGAACCGUUAUAACCGGCGAUACCCGAAUGGGGAAACCCAGUGUGACUCGUCACACUAUCAUUAACUGAAUUCAUAGGUUAAUGAGGCGAACCGGGGGAACUGAAACAUCUAAGUACCCCGAGGAAAAGAAAUCAACCGAGAUUCCCCCAGUAGCGGCGAGCGAACGGGGAGGAGCCCAGAGCCUGAAUCAGCAUGUGUGUUAGUGGAAGCGUCUGGAAAGGCGCGCGAUACAGGGUGACAGCCCCGUACACAAAAGCGCAUGUGCUGUGAGCUCGAUGAGUAGGGCGGGACACGUGGUAUCCUGUCUGAAUAUGGGGGGACCAUCCUCCAAGGCUAAAUACUCCUGACUGACCGAUAGUGAACCA
This 466-nucleotide ribosomal RNA is filed under the name Salmonella enterica subsp. enterica serovar Paratyphi B. Its description in RNAcentral is "bacterial LSU rRNA". It matches the Rfam family "Bacterial large subunit ribosomal RNA", at positions 1 to 497 of the family's 2925-position model. Lineage: Bacteria; Pseudomonadati; Pseudomonadota; Gammaproteobacteria; Enterobacterales; Enterobacteriaceae. The record is from RNAcentral.